Octopus sinensis (East Asian common octopus) is the source of this 1004-nucleotide long non-coding RNA. RefSeq lists it as uncharacterized. The transcript has 2 exons. The record is from RefSeq and is a predicted model, not a curated record. NCBI's taxonomy places the organism in Eukaryota, Metazoa, Mollusca, Cephalopoda, Octopoda, Octopodidae.
GCUUUUAUUUUCUCUCUCUGUCUCUCCUUUGGAAAUACUUCUUCCACUUAUGCUUUCUUGAUAUUUAUGCAUAUCGAAGCACUCAAUAAAUACAGUAGGCUAGUUACUACACUACAAGCUGUGCAAAUCAUUGAUAGAAGCCUCCUACCGUCAGCUCAGUGUUUGGAUGUUACCUCAUCGCAUCUCAUCUGCAUAUAUACCUGCUUCUUAAAGGACAAUUUCAACAGUUCCUGAACUCGGCCUGUCUUAGAUUAUGUGGAUGGACAGUUUGACUUUUUCAUAUUCAAGAACAAUUUAGUUCAGUUCUUUGUUAAUAAUCAAUCAUCUGAGAUGGUUGUUUUGUAUGUUGUUUUUUAUUAAGUUGGCAAAAAAUGAAAUAAAAUAACCAGCAAAAACAACAACAACAAAACCUUCAAUUUGGAGGAAUUCAAUUUUUAUCUCACUUUAGUCUGAUUUUUUGUUCAACUAUUUUUAUUAAAUUAACAUAAAAUUUCAUGCUCCUUUGUAAUAUUUUUUGAACAAUAUAUCCAAGUGUAACUGAUUGUCUUCUUCCAUAUUUUUUGAUAAAUGUUUUCAAAUUAUUUGCAUAUCUUGUCUUGAAAGAACUGGCUCUCAUCUGUAGCCAACGACCUUUCAAACACUGACUGUAAAUCAUUCACAUCAUUGUUUAUUAAUUACCAAUUAAACAAGAAAUAUUAUCUUUAUUCUUUUUACAUCUAUAAAGACAUUUUAAUUAAUGCUCAGAACCAAAAUUUGCUUCAUAGAAAGAAAAUAACAGUAGACUCUUUUUCAUACAAUUUUACAUAAGAAAUACAAUUCAGAGAUUUAUGAACAUAUAUUCUCAAAAAAAAAAGAAAGCAAAUAUUUUUCAAAUUCUUCUGGGUGUUUCAGCUAACACAAUAAAAUUUGUUACACCAUUAUUUAAAAACUUCUCAAUGGAGGAUUUUUGAAAAUGUUUAUUUGAUAAAAAAAAAAAGAUAAAAGUACAAAACAAAACAAUGCAA